GAUUAAAAAAAAAAAAGAACACGCCCGAUCUCGUCCGAUCUCGGAAGCCAAGCAGGGUCGGGCCUGGUUAGUACUUGGAUGGGAGACGGCCUGGGAAUACCAGGUGCUGUAAGCU
This 115-nucleotide ribosomal RNA is filed under the name Seriola lalandi dorsalis. The record is from RNAcentral. Lineage: Eukaryota; Metazoa; Chordata; Actinopteri; Carangiformes; Carangidae.